This 1530-nucleotide ribosomal RNA is filed under the name Salmonella enterica subsp. enterica. RNAcentral describes it as "bacterial SSU rRNA". It matches the Rfam family "Bacterial small subunit ribosomal RNA". The record is from RNAcentral. Lineage: Bacteria; Pseudomonadati; Pseudomonadota; Gammaproteobacteria; Enterobacterales; Enterobacteriaceae.
AGAGUUUGAUCAUGGCUCAGAUUGAACGCUGGCGGCAGGCCUAACACAUGCAAGUCGAACGGUAACAGGAAGCAGCUUGCUGCUUUGCUGACGAGUGGCGGACGGGUGAGUAAUGUCUGGGAAACUGCCUGAUGGAGGGGGAUAACUACUGGAAACGGUGGCUAAUACCGCAUAACGUCGCAAGACCAAAGAGGGGGACCUUCGGGCCUCUUGCCAUCAGAUGUGCCCAGAUGGGAUUAGCUUGUUGGUGGGGUAACGGCUCACCAAGGCGACGAUCCCUAGCUGGUCUGAGAGGAUGACCAGCCACACUGGAACUGAGACACGGUCCAGACUCCUACGGGAGGCAGCAGUGGGGAAUAUUGCACAAUGGGCGCAAGCCUGAUGCAGCCAUGCCGCGUGUAUGAAGAAGGCCUUCGGGUUGUAAAGUACUUUCAGCGGGGAGGAAGGUGUUGUGGUUAAUAACCGCAGCAAUUGACGUUACCCGCAGAAGAAGCACCGGCUAACUCCGUGCCAGCAGCCGCGGUAAUACGGAGGGUGCAAGCGUUAAUCGGAAUUACUGGGCGUAAAGCGCACGCAGGCGGUCUGUCAAGUCGGAUGUGAAAUCCCCGGGCUCAACCUGGGAACUGCAUUCGAAACUGGCAGGCUUGAGUCUUGUAGAGGGGGGUGGAAUUCCAGGUGUAGCGGUGAAAUGCGUAGAGAUCUGGAGGAAUACCGGUGGCGAAGGCGGCCCCCUGGACAAAGACUGACGCUCAGGUGCGAAAGCGUGGGGAGCAAACAGGAUUAGAUACCCUGGUAGUCCACGCCGUAAACGAUGUCUACUUGGAGGUUGUGCCCUUGAGGCGUGGCUUCCGGAGCUAACGCGUUAAGUAGACCGCCUGGGGAGUACGGCCGCAAGGUUAAAACUCAAAUGAAUUGACGGGGGCCCGCACAAGCGGUGGAGCAUGUGGUUUAAUUCGAUGCAACGCGAAGAACCUUACCUGGUCUUGACAUCCACAGAACUUUCCAGAGAUGGAUUGGUGCCUUCGGGAACUGUGAGACAGGUGCUGCAUGGCUGUCGUCAGCUCGUGUUGUGAAAUGUUGGGUUAAGUCCCGCAACGAGCGCAACCCUUAUCCUUUGUUGCCAGCGGUCCGGCCGGGAACUCAAAGGAGACUGCCAGUGAUAAACUGGAGGAAGGUGGGGAUGACGUCAAGUCAUCAUGGCCCUUACGACCAGGGCUACACACGUGCUACAAUGGCGCAUACAAAGAGAAGCGACCUCGCGAGAGCAAGCGGACCUCAUAAAGUGCGUCGUAGUCCGGAUUGGAGUCUGCAACUCGACUCCAUGAAGUCGGAAUCGCUAGUAAUCGUGGAUCAGAAUGCCACGGUGAAUACGUUCCCGGGCCUUGUACACACCGCCCGUCACACCAUGGGAGUGGGUUGCAAAAGAAGUAGGUAGCUUAACCUUCGGGAGGGCGCUUACCACUUUGUGAUUCAUGACUGGGGUGAAGUCGUAACAAGGUAACCGUAGGGGAACCUGCGGUUGGAUCACCU